Scomber scombrus (Atlantic mackerel) is the source of this 214-nucleotide long non-coding RNA. RefSeq lists it as uncharacterized. NCBI's taxonomy places the organism in Eukaryota, Metazoa, Chordata, Actinopteri, Scombriformes, Scombridae. The record is from RefSeq and is a predicted model, not a curated record. The transcript has 3 exons.
CAUCUCUAACUUGUGAGUCGUCGUAUCCCUUGAUCACCAACCCUUUGCCUGAUGGUAAUAAACAAGGUGAAUCAAACCAAAAUGAUCCCACAUAUUACACCAUUGCUGAUCUUCCACCAAGGGGAAACAUGAUAGAUACAUUUCAAACUAAUGAGUCGCCAUAUUCAUUGAUCACCAGCUGAAUGAUCAGAAGUAUUUCUUACUGAAACCUAAG